Molecule: non-coding RNA, 3248 nt
Organism: Podarcis lilfordi (Lilford's wall lizard)
Lineage: Eukaryota; Metazoa; Chordata; Lepidosauria; Squamata; Lacertidae
Source: the annotation of a GenBank genome assembly
GGUGUUUACAGUGCCUUUUACAGGUCAAAGACUCCCUGGGGCUGAUGUUGUAACAGAACCUUCCUAUAUGUUGUUUUUAUUCAUUGUCAUAAGGACAAGCUGCCCUGAGGCAUUAGGCCACUCCGAGGCUUUUAAAAGUAUGUGCCAGGACAAACAUUGAUUGGAUGAAUGAACAACAUUUGGGAAUGCACAGCUAGGCCAAGCAGCAACAGGCUGUAGUCCUGUGCAUGCUUUCCUGGGAGUAAGGCCUGUUGAACAUAAGGGAGAGCAAACGUGCAUUGGGUUGUGUGUCUUUGAUUUGACGCUUGAACAAACAGAAGGAUAGAGAUAUAGCAGCACAAGUAAUCAUUGCCUCAACCACCCCCUUUAAUAGCUUCUCAAAUAGCAACCUACAAAGUAAUGCUAAUAAUGAGCCACUGAUGAGCUCAUCCAGAUGCCUUUUUUUUUUUUAAGCCGUGCAACAAGAACCUCAAGCAUCAACAACGAAAAUUGAUUAAGGAUGGGGCUCCACUGUGUCUGCCUUACUCUCCUAAUGAAUGGUAUUAUCUAUGCUGAAGACUUGCUUGUGAAGAGAGAGUUAUGGCAGGGAUGCUAAGAAACUUGUGUAUGAGAGUCGACUGAUCAAGCAGCCUCAUGUUGAAGAGACCUUGCCCGCCCACCCCAAACACAUGCCACAAAACUGGCAAUGUCAAGUGUCUUGCUCUAUGCUGAAGUGACCCUCGAGUCUAGAACAAAUCAUAUUGAGACCCCUUGUGGCAUAGUGCCAGCCUGUUAUUUCAUUAUGAGUUUGUGGGUGCCAGAGUUUGUGAAGGCAAAACACCCCUAAUUCCUGGAUUUAGUAAGUGUUAGAAUCAACGCUUGAAAUAUUAGGAUGGCCUACCACACGCUGAAGUUAGCCUGCAUGUCAAAAAACAGGCCAAAUCAGUUUUUGCAUGCUCAGAUAAUCGCUUGGGAGUGUCGCAGGACCCCCCCCCCCAAUCAUUCAGUUUGUACAAACUUCACACACACUCGCACUCACACACUACAUACGCUACACUUCUGUUAUAAAUUCAUAGAAAAUCAACCAUACAUCGGAUUUGCACUGUUCCACUUUUAUUGUAGUCCAUGAAGAAAGGACUACAAAAUGGGGAAGGUUUGAUACAGGGCAGCCAUAAUCCCUUGAGCAUACCAGCACAUACACAGGAGCCCUGCCCAGUUGCUAUGCCAACCCUGAUGGUCCUAGACAGAAGACCAUCAAGAUCACAAAGAACUUGCAUAUGGGAGUGGAUUCAGCACGGACUGGAACAAAGGACAAUAAUCAGCUCUUCCCUCUGGGGGCAGGAAACUGCAAACUCCCCUCUGUCACCUGGAAAGUACUCAUGGGGAGGGGGAAAGGGGGAACCAGCCAGGUGACAGGACACUCAGGGUACCACCACAACUCCUCCCUCAACCCCUCCUUUCUGUGAUGAAGGUGUGAUGUAUCUGAGGGGUGGUCUUAGGUUACACCCCUUCUGUGAUGUAUGUAUGAUGUUUCAAGGGGUGGUCUUGAUCUACAGGGUGGCAAUUUCAAAAGUCUUUAUAAGACCUGGCACACCAUUUUUCUGGGUCCUUCCUCUCUCCUGCAAGUGAGGGGAGCACCCUGUUGCAACAGAUCAAUAAAGGCCAAGCCUACAGGCUGCUGUUUUGCUCCAAGUUAUCCUGGUUGGUGUCUUUGUUUUUGUCCAAGGGAGCCCUCGGAUUUUUCCGUUAACAGGAGAAGAGCUAUCACAGAGAACAAACAGAACAUAAUGGGAGAUUAACAAAGCAGAUACUCUGGGCCGGACUGAUGGAUGGAGCCCUGCUUCCCAACUCUCCCACUGAGGCAGUCUGGUGGAAUGCCUGCUCUGGGGUGACAGUUGAGGGAGAUGAAAUCUGACAGGGCUGGCCUGUCAGCCAAGCUCAACUGAGCUGGUUUUAAUUUUUCUACAUUGCAAAUGGCUUCGAUCUCUCGUUACGAUGUGGCAGUAUAUAAAUAUAGUCGUUAACCAGUUGGCAUCCGUCUGUCUCGAGAGACAAUGGAGGAGUGUCCUUUUGAGGGUGAAGUCCCAAUUGUUGGAAGGUUGCAUGCGCUUGUUGUGGCUAUAAAGAACCGAUGUGGGAGAGACGUGUUUUGCUGCACCUGGGGCAGGUGAAGGCGUCUGGUUCUGCUGCUGCUGCACCAUUGCUUCUCUCUGCAUUCCUCUUUGUUAUUUAAACAGACAUCAGGUCUGACUUUCAAGUCCGCAGCUUUUUUUGCCUCCAGCUUCUAGUUCACAUAACUCAACUCUCUGCCCUGGCCUUUUGUCUUUCUGACUAACAGACUGCUGAGGGAGAGAGGUCUACCCACUCGCCACUCCUUUUGUUCUCUUAAGGAUCCAUGUUUGUAGAGGGCCAUUAACAGGCUGGUCUGGCUAUCCCAACAAUCAAAUCCCUGCUGUAUCUAAGAGUCAGAAGGGGGUGCUCAGCCUACCGCCCCCCCAACUCACAACAGUAUAAUAAUGAUACGUGAAAAUGUAGUAGUGAGUUAACAAAAUUUUAGGUUUUCAUGCUUUCAUUGAAAGCAUUUUGGGGGAAAAGUUUGAUGAAGGCUUUGUUUGUUCUCUGCAGAAGUUAAAGGAUUGUGCUGAAGGCUUUUGGUAGUUCUAUAGACUCAGCACUUCCGGACCAAUUUCCAUCCUUCAGUCACAAUGGGAUGGUUGGCUGGGGGGUGGAAAGGAAAGGAUCGUGUGGCCUGACUUUCCCAUCUGCCCUGCGACAGUCACAGAAAAUACAGAUCAGAUUACAGCUCGUUAUUCCAUAUUGUUUUUCUUCGGUGGGGAAAACACAACAAUGAUUUAGCUUCUGUCAUAGCCAUUGUGCGCUUGUGAUUACAGAUUCACUGCGCCUUGACGAAAGUUUCUUGAGGUUCUGCACGUCAGAAGCCUGGCUGCUCCCUGCAAAGCACCCCAAAUGCUGGCACAUUCUUGUAUGGCUUUUGUACGGCUGCAAUAUUUCCUUGAUUUCAAAGGAAGUUAAAUGAGCUCCAUUGUCAGGCAGGGGCGAGAGGCCUAAGAACAAGGCAUCAUAUUUCGCAACAGUGUGAUUUAUUUCUCCUUGUGCCUGCUUUUAAAUGGCAGUCCUUUCCUAUUUAUAAUUCCGCUCGCUACUGUGCUAGUAAUAGGCUCUCGCUGGGACGCCUUUGUUCCAGUCCUUAGCCCAGUAACAACAUAAGUAAGUGGCUUGAAAUUGUUUCACUCCAGCCCUCUGUUGUG